Molecule: long non-coding RNA, 1816 nt
Filed under: Musa acuminata (dwarf banana)
Lineage: Eukaryota; Viridiplantae; Streptophyta; Magnoliopsida; Zingiberales; Musaceae
Description: long non-coding RNA (MACU_LNC007422)
Source: RNAcentral
AGAAAGAAUCAAAGAAGCGCGAAAUCUUUAUCAAGAAAGCUAUCUAUAAGUGGCGGGAAAGGAAAUAGUAUUGGGUUGGGCGGUGAAAGUGCCUGUAGCAAAGCAGUCUGCCUAAUCAGAGUAAGAGAUAAAAGAAGCUGUACGAGCGAGUGUUGCAUCUCGGUUAAGGGCAGCAAGCAGUUAUGAAAGGUUCGUUUUUGUUCGGGCGCGGUACAAGACGUUGUGUUGUUUGCAGGUUAAUUACUUAUAUAUAUAUAUAUGGUGCAUUCCUUUGUUAUAUUGUUAUAUAUAUAUGGUGCAUUCCUUUGUUAUAUUGUUAUGGAGCAUGCAGUGAAUGAAUCAAUUGUAGUUUGAGUGUUGAGCAAGAAGGAUUCAAUUCAAGUUUUACUUCAGACAGGACAGAUCCAACAGAAGAUGCUUUUUGAACAAUUGCCUAGCCCGACGAACAUCCUGACUGCUUUCAUACUAAAACCCGUGCUGCUCCGUUAACACUUGUUCUUUUGUCGUUGCUUUGUUUGCUUUAAGAACUCUUAUGGGCACACUGUUCUAGAAGAGAAGAGAGAUGAUUUCCUGCGCUCGGUACCUAGGUAUGAUAGACUUAAGCAAUAGGCACAUCCACUAAUAAAAGAGAGUAAACAAAGAUCUCAGGGAGUGAGGGCGAUGCGGUGCAAGCAAUUGUCUAUGUUAAGGUAGUUCGGGAUUGAUGAAGAGGUUAAGCAGUUUUGUAUGAAAGGUGUGAGCGAAAAGUCCGGGUAUCGAGUCAGGGCAAAGUGAAUGACUUGAAUCGUGCGGUUGAAAGGUGUGGUUAAGUAUCAAGUUAGCGGGAAAUACAGAAAGUCCGGGUAGGUAGCCAAGAUAACAAGUAGAUCUAGUAGCUCGUAGCUCUGCAUCGGUGUUUGUUUAUUCAUUUCUAUCAUGAAACAACUCGGGGUGCUAAGGGUUGUUUUUGUUUAUAGAACUAUAGCAAGGGAACAAGCUUAGUAGAUUGAGCUCCGUUAGCCGAUGAAGACAGGACGGACUUGCUCUUGACUGAUAAUAACUCCGUAAGCUAUAUAAAAGCGAUAAAAAGCAAGCCGGAGCUAUUGAGUUCGCUAAGCUAAGAGAAAAGAGGUUGGCCCUGGAGAGUAUUUUGAGUGUUGUUACUUUCUCUGGAGAGUAUUUCUAUAGUUAUUACUAUUGCUUGUUCUGUCGUUAUUAUUUGUAAUCACUUAUAUAACGUUAAUUAUGACAACUAUUGCUUGUGUCCGUCUAUAGCUUGUUUGCGUCUGUUAUGAGUCUCGAGUCUCUUCUUUAUGUUCGACUUGAAUCUGUUUGUCGUGGAGAAUUGACUGAUUCCUCCCUAAUAGGUGAGAGGAAAGUUAACUCGAUAAUCAGCUGUUUGAAGAAAGUCUAUAAUUAGAGUAAACUGAUAGAGCAAAGCGAGCUUAGAGGUGCUGCUCCCGACGAAGAAAGGUGAAAGUACAAGGAACCUGCAAUCGAUUCUUCAAGAUAUAAGCAAUGCCAGAAAGGGAAGCUGUAAAGUCAGAAGUAGAGGCCAGAGUGUUGAGUAAGCCCUAAGUGUUGAGUAAGCCCUAAGUCAGUAGUUAGUAGGAAGCCUACCGAUUCUCCGCUGCUAGUAUAAGAUAUAGUACUAUUGGUUUCAUUCCUCUGUUACUAGGCUAGGAAGUCUGUUACUAGGCCUGCAUCUAGACUAGUGGAAUUCUGGAAUCGAAUGGGAUGAAUAAAUUGGAUCAAAUAUGAAAUAAUCCAGAAAAGUCGACAUCAUUUUCCAGUACAUACUCACUACACAAACAGUAGCAAAAAACAUAGGAUAACU